CGUGUAGGCGGAUGCGCAAGUCUGGUGUGAAAUCCCUCGGCUCAACUGAGGAACGCCAUUGGAUACUGCGUGUCUUGAGUGCAGGAGGGGAGAGCGGAACUCUUGGUGGAGCGGUGAAAUGCGUAGAUAUCAAGAGGAACGCCGGCGGCGAAAGCGGCUCUCUGGCCUGUUACUGACGCUGAGGCGCGAAAGCCAGGGGAGCGAACG
Molecule: ribosomal RNA, 207 nt
Filed under: uncultured bacterium
Lineage: Bacteria
Description: partial 16S ribosomal RNA
Rfam family: Bacterial small subunit ribosomal RNA
Source: RNAcentral